CCUGGUGGUUAUGGCGGAGCGGCUGCACCCGAUCCCAUUCCGAACUCGGCCGUGAAACGCUCCAGCGCCAAUGGUACUUCGUCUCCAGACGCGGGAGAGUAGGUCGCUGCCAGGU
RNAcentral lists this ribosomal RNA (115 nucleotides) under Brucella abortus 544. Lineage: Bacteria; Pseudomonadati; Pseudomonadota; Alphaproteobacteria; Hyphomicrobiales; Brucellaceae. The record is from RNAcentral.